CAGCUGAUGACACUGGUGUCUUUCUUCUA
RNAcentral lists this non-coding RNA (29 nucleotides) under Homo sapiens (human). Lineage: Eukaryota; Metazoa; Chordata; Mammalia; Primates; Hominidae. The record is from RNAcentral.